This is a non-coding RNA of Phrynosoma platyrhinos (Desert horned lizard), 73 nucleotides long. NCBI's taxonomy places the organism in Eukaryota, Metazoa, Chordata, Lepidosauria, Squamata, Phrynosomatidae. The record is from the annotation of a GenBank genome assembly.
GCCUACCCCUGGUCUAGUGGUUUGAGUGUAGGACUAAGACUCUGGAGACCAGGGUUCGAUUCCCAGUUCGGCU